GGGCCCGCACAAGCGGUGGAGCAUGUGGUUUAAUUCGAUGAUACGCGAGGAACCUUACCAGGGCUUAAAUGUAGUUUGACCGGUCUGGAAACAGGCCUUCUCUUCGGAGCAGAUUACAAGGUGCUGCAUGGUUGUCGUCAGCUCGUGCCGUGAGGUGUUAGGUUAAGUCCUGCAACGAGCGCAACCCCUAUUCUUAGUUGCCAGCGGUUCGGCCGGGGACUCUAAGAAGACUGCCAGCGCAAGCUGAGAGGAAGGUGGGGAUGACGUCAAAUCAUCACGGCCCUUACGUCCUGGGCUACACACGUGCUACAAUGGUAGAGACAGAGGGCAGCCACCUGGUGACAGGGAGCGAAUCCUUAAACUCUAUCUCAGUUCGGAUCGAAGUCUGCAACUCGACUCCGUGAAGUUGGAAUCGCUAGUAA
This 422-nucleotide ribosomal RNA is filed under the name uncultured bacterium. RNAcentral's name for it is "bacterial SSU rRNA". It matches the Rfam family "Bacterial small subunit ribosomal RNA", at positions 917 to 1341 of the family's 1533-position model. The record is from RNAcentral.